This 253-nucleotide ribosomal RNA is filed under the name uncultured bacterium. RNAcentral's name for it is "partial 16S ribosomal RNA". It matches the Rfam family "Bacterial small subunit ribosomal RNA", at positions 524 to 776 of the family's 1533-position model. The record is from RNAcentral.
UACGAAGGUGGCAAGCGUUGUCCGGAAUUACUGGGCGUAAAGCGCGUGUAGGCGGAUCGUUAAGUCGGGGGUGAAAGCGCAGAGCUCAACUCUGGAAUUGCCUUCGAUACUGGCGGUCUGGAGCAGAGAAGAGGCGAGUGGAAUUCCGAGUGUAGAGGUGAAAUUCGUAGAUAUUCGGAGGAACACCAGUGGCGAAGGCGGCACGCUGGUCUCUUGCUGACGCUGAGACGCGAAAGCGUGGGGAGCAAACAGG